GAAUCUAGCCUGCCCGGUGAGAGCUUAUCUUAAACGGCCGCGGUACUCUGACCGUGCGAAGGUAGCAUAAUCAUUUGUCUUUUAAUAGGAGUCUAGUAUGAAUGGUCUGUCAAGAAUAUAACUGUCUCUCCCCUCUUCUAUAGAACUUUAUUUUUAAGUUAAAAAGCUUAAAUAUAAUAAAAAGACAAGAAGACCCUAUCGAGCUUAUAGAGAUUGGUAGAUUUAAAUUUAUUAAUAAAGAGAUUAACUUUGUAGCUUUCUUUGGUUGGGGCGACUUGGGAACAAAUAAAGCUUCCUAUAAUGUAAAAAACUGUCGGGUGUUGAUCCAUUUUUUGAUUAAAGGAAUUAGUUACCGUAGGGAUAACAGCAUAAUCCUCUUUGAGAGUUCUAAUCGAAAGGGGGGUUUGUGACCUCGAUGUUGGAUCAAAAUAUCCUAAAGAUGUAGCAGUCUUUAAGGGUUGGCC
Molecule: ribosomal RNA, 464 nt
Filed under: Erato sp. 1-CM-2003
Lineage: Eukaryota; Metazoa; Mollusca; Gastropoda; Littorinimorpha; Eratoidae
Description: partial 16S large subunit ribosomal RNA
Rfam family: Bacterial large subunit ribosomal RNA
Source: RNAcentral